GACGAACUGUGCAAACGUUAUUCGGAAUCACUGGGCUUGAAGAGUGCGUAGGCGGUUUUGUAAGUCGGGUGUGAAAGCCCCCGGCUCAACCGGGGAAUUGCGCCUUAAACUGCAAGGCUGGAGUGAGGUAGGGGUGUGUGGAACUUCCAGUGGAGCGGUGAAAUGUGUUGAUAUUGGAAGGAACGCCGGUGGCGAAAGCGACACACUGGACCUUGUCUGACGCUGAGGCACGAAAGCCAGGGGAGCAAACGGG
Molecule: ribosomal RNA, 253 nt
Filed under: uncultured bacterium
Lineage: Bacteria
Description: partial 16S ribosomal RNA
Rfam family: Bacterial small subunit ribosomal RNA
Source: RNAcentral